RNAcentral lists this long non-coding RNA (215 nucleotides) under Mytilus galloprovincialis (Mediterranean mussel). Lineage: Eukaryota; Metazoa; Mollusca; Bivalvia; Mytilida; Mytilidae. The record is from RNAcentral.
CCCCCCCCCUUUUAGGUCAGUCAGCGGGCCCCACUUAGGAAAAGUUCUGCAUCCGCCCCUGCAAUCCAAAGAAAUAGACGUUUUUUACUGUCAGUCCAUACAUUGAGGUUACCUAUCCAUCACAUUGGUGUCUUGACCAGAUGAUAUAAACCUAUUUGACAGACAUACACAGCUACUUUUGCAUAGGUACUAUUUCUGUACUAAAAAUUUGUAGU